GAUGAAGAACGUAGCGAAAUGCGAUACGUAAUGUGAAUUGCAGAAUUCGGUGAAUCAUCGAAUCUUUGAACGCAUAUUGCGCUCUCUGGUAUUCCGGAGAGCAUGCUUGUUUGAGUAUCAGUAAACACCUCAACUUCCAUAUCUUUUUUGAAAUGGGAGUUGGACUUGAGUGAUCCCAACGCUUUUCCUCACCGAAAAGUGGCGGGUUACUUGAAAUGCAGGUGCAGCUGGACUUUUCUCUGAGCUAUAAGCAUAUCUAUUUAGUCUGCCUAAAAAACAGAUUAUUACCUUUGCUGCAGCUAACAUAAAGGAGGUUAGUUCUUGUGCUGACUGAUGCAGGAUUCACAAAGACAGGCUUCGGCCGACUUUGUAAAUUCGAUCUCAAAUCAAGUAAGACUACCCGCUGAACUUAAGCAUAUCAAUAAGCGGAGGA
Molecule: unclassified non-coding RNA, 433 nt
Filed under: soil metagenome
Description: partial contains 5.8S ribosomal RNA, internal transcribed spacer 2, and large subunit ribosomal RNA
Rfam family: 5.8S ribosomal RNA (bases 1-120)
Source: RNAcentral